RNAcentral lists this ribosomal RNA (484 nucleotides) under uncultured bacterium. Its description in RNAcentral is "partial 16S ribosomal RNA". It matches the Rfam family "Bacterial small subunit ribosomal RNA", at positions 29 to 507 of the family's 1533-position model. The record is from RNAcentral.
AUUGAACGCUGGCGGCAUGCUUUACACAUGCAAGUCGAACGGCAGCGCGGGCUUCGGCCUGGCGGCGAGUGGCGAACGGGUGAGUAAUGCAUCGGAACGUGCCCAGUAGUGGGGGAUAGCCCGGCGAAAGCCGGACUAAUACCGCAUACGACCUGAGGGUGAAAGCGGGGGACCGAAAGGCCUCGCGCUAUUGGAGCGGCCGAUGUCGGAUUAGCUAGUUGGUGGGGUAAAGGCUUACCAAGGCGACGAUCCGUAGCUGGUCUGAGAGGACGACCAGCCACACUGGAACUGAGACACGGCCCAGACUCCUACGGGAGGCAGCAGUGGGGAAUUUUGGACAAUGGGGGAAACCCUGAUCCAGCCAUGCCGCGUGCGGGAAGAAGGCCUUCGGGUUGUAAACCGCUUUUGUUCGGGAGGAAAGGCUCUGGGCUAAUACCCCGGGGGUAUGACGGUACCGGAAGAAUAAGCACCGGCUAACUACGUG